CCCUUAGAUGUUCUGGGCCGCACGCGCGCUACACUGAUGCAUUCAACGAGCCUAUCCUUGACCGACAGGUUCGGGUAAUCUUUGAAUCUGCAUCGUGACGGGGAUAGAUUAUUGCAAUUAUUAAUCUUCAACGAGGAAUGCCUAGUAGGCGCAAGUCAUCAGCUUGCGUCGAUUACGUCCCUGCCCUUUGUACACACCGCCCGUCGCUCCUACCGAUUGGGUGUGCUGGUGAAAUGUUCGGAUCGGCCGUUUGUCGCGGUUUCCGCGGCUCGUGGCUGAGAAGUUCAUUAAACCCUCCCACCUAGAGGAAGGAGAAGUCGUAACA
This 325-nucleotide ribosomal RNA is filed under the name uncultured eukaryote. Its description in RNAcentral is "partial 18S ribosomal RNA". It matches the Rfam family "Eukaryotic small subunit ribosomal RNA", at positions 1470 to 1796 of the family's 1831-position model. The record is from RNAcentral.